UUAAAUUGAAGAGUUUGAUCAUGGCUCAGAUUGAACGCUGGCGGCAGGCCUAACACAUGCAAGUCGAACGGUAACAGGAAGCAGCUUGCUGCUUCGCUGACGAGUGGCGGACGGGUGAGUAAUGUCUGGGAAACUGCCUGAUGGAGGGGGAUAACUACUGGAAACGGUGGCUAAUACCGCAUAACGUCGCAAGACCAAAGAGGGGGACCUUCGGGCCUCUUGCCAUCAGAUGUGCCCAGAUGGGAUUAGCUUGUUGGUGAGGUAACGGCUCACCAAGGCGACGAUCCCUAGCUGGUCUGAGAGGAUGACCAGCCACACUGGAACUGAGACACGGUCCAGACUCCUACGGGAGGCAGCAGUGGGGAAUAUUGCACAAUGGGCGCAAGCCUGAUGCAGCCAUGCCGCGUGUAUGAAGAAGGCCUUCGGGUUGUAAAGUACUUUCAGCGGGGAGGAAGGUGUUGUGGUUAAUAACCACAGCAAUUGACGUUACCCGCAGAAGAAGCACCGGCUAACUCCGUGCCAGCAGCCGCGGUAAUACGGAGGGUGCAAGCGUUAAUCGGAAUUACUGGGCGUAAAGCGCACGCAGGCGGUCU
This 593-nucleotide ribosomal RNA is filed under the name Salmonella enterica subsp. enterica serovar Fresno str. ST224. RNAcentral describes it as "bacterial SSU rRNA". It matches the Rfam family "Bacterial small subunit ribosomal RNA", at positions 1 to 581 of the family's 1533-position model. Lineage: Bacteria; Pseudomonadati; Pseudomonadota; Gammaproteobacteria; Enterobacterales; Enterobacteriaceae. The record is from RNAcentral.